UCUUCAUACUGUUGCGUUGAAUCACGUCGCCAAUACAAUACACGAUCGAGGUGAAAUGCGACUAAAACUAAUAACGACUAAAAUAAUAAACGAUUGAGUCACAACGUGAUAUUUAAAUGCACGAUCGAGGUCAAAUGCGACUAAAACUUAUAGCCACUAGAAAAAAAAACUAUUGAGACACAAUGCGAAAAUUAAAUAUGAGAUCGAGGUGAAAUGCGAUUCGGUGAAUUACUACAACAAUUUUAUGCUUUUGGGGUACAGGUCUAACAAAUC
Molecule: long non-coding RNA, 273 nt
Organism: Cydia amplana
Lineage: Eukaryota; Metazoa; Arthropoda; Insecta; Lepidoptera; Tortricidae
Exons: 2
Source: RefSeq, a predicted model, not a curated record